Molecule: long non-coding RNA, 2589 nt
Organism: Scophthalmus maximus (turbot)
Lineage: Eukaryota; Metazoa; Chordata; Actinopteri; Pleuronectiformes; Scophthalmidae
Exons: 3
Source: RefSeq, a predicted model, not a curated record
ACAUAUAAUCACUCUGUAAUUACAAAUCUUCCUUUCUGCAUCACCUUAACAGGUAACAGCCUUCUCGUCAGUCGUCUGCGUUAAAAGCUUUCUGGUCUCCUUCCAGUUUGCCCCACGAAAGUAGUGUAGAAAGUAAUAGCCUACUAUAGGGUGUGGACACUGUAAUGAGGAUCAUGUAUUUCAUAGAAAAAUCGAUAUUUUUUUUUUCAGAUGCUGGACACUAGAACAGCUCAUACACUGCCAGGAAAAACUAAUUUGAUCCCAUUUUUGCUUUUGAGUGGAUUGAGAUUACUUUGUCGCGUGAAAAUUUGUGUCAAAUGAAAGCCGCAACACAACACAGACAAAUGAUGGUGGUCAGUGUUUGCAUUAUCUCGGAGCGGUUCACUGAAGAUUGGUGUUUUCAUUAUGUCGGCGAGUCUAUAAAGCCCGGGAAUAACUCAUAUUUAAUCAUUGCGAUUCAUCCGCACCACCACCCGCUGGAGAAAUCAACUCAAGAGCUGGAAUAAGUGAUUAAAAAGGCCCUGGGUUCAGUCACAGUGUGACUCUAAAUCACACGCAGAAAAACUUUUCUGUAAUAUCAUGGUGUAACUAACUAGAGGCGGGGUGGACCGCCAUGGGGACCGAUGGCGAGGCCAAGCGCUAAGAGCCGGGCGCAGUUGGCUUGCCACGCCUGGGAGAACAACAGCGGGGGGCUCGGAUAGGUCCGGACCCAGAUUUAGAGCAGAGAGCAAAGUCACUCUGCUGGAUCAAAGGCCCGGUUCACACCUGGUAUUACCAUGCAUCCAGGGUGAUUGGAUCACGAGAGAGAGAGAGAGAGAGGGGGAUCGAGAGCUGGGCGAAGAGGAGCUGAGCGAAUCAAUGCUCUAUAAUGAAAUAAUAUUUUACUCAUUUGAAAUAGUAAAAAAAACACAACAGAAAAUCAAUAUGUGGUUGUGGUAUGUUGCUCUUGUGGCUGAUCGUAACAACAAAGUCAAUGUAUGGGAAACAGCGAGGAGUGUGAAGAUACUUUUGGUUUAUUUUUUUUCAGAGAGUUAGAGGAGGUCCGCCGAGUAGGUGGUCCUUCGGUGUGGCAGCGGCACACAUUCACGUUCACACCGCUGAAAGAAUGUGGCUGCGUGCGACCCAGGCCGCCUCCGUUUUAAAUCCCAAGACGCAUGUCAAUGACACACAGGUAUUGAUGGGGGAGUUUUUUCGGGAGACAUUUUCAGGCAAGAAGAACAAACACAUGAGUCGAGCGGGGAAGCGAGUGAAAGCAGAACAGAGAACACGUGACCAGCUGCGGAGGAAGAGGUGGAGCGGGCACAGAGGGCAGAUUGUCCCGCUGCUGUUCUCCGCUCUCAUUACAGUUUCAGGUGAAGCCGUUCAACUGUCGAGGCUUGACAACAGGCUGCUUGAGAAGGGGGACAGACCUCCGACUGCUACAAGAUUUCUCCAAACGUUGACCCUCCCUCCCCUCUCCCACUCCCCAUGGCUCUCCUUGGGGUCUGCACCCCCUGCUGCUGUGGAAACCAGAUCCUAUAAUGGGAAGAGCCCACCCAACUGCUGCUGACCAGCUGGAAUGAGAGUCUGGUGGGAAGCAAAGCAAAACUGGAAUCACACCACAUCGCCUUCCACCCAAACACUAAAACCCUCCGCAAGUACAGCCGUGGGCCAUAAAAUGGAGAUGAUUGUUUAGCUUGUGUCAGCCUUAAAAAAAUAAAAAAAAACUGAGGGAAGGCAAACAUUUUUCCAGAGACAUAAUUUAAUGUGGCACAAGGGUUGUCAUUUUAUGAUAAUGACGGCAGUGACAUUUUUGCUUAUUACUCCACCAAGGUGACUUUGAUGGUGUGUUUUCCUGCAAGGCUUCAAAACAGCCCACAAUGCACACUCCCUGCACUCCUUCAAAUUAAGUCGUACUCAUAUUGAUCACUAAGCACACAAAAACUCAUUCUCUCGAGGGUCUUGCCACCCUUAAUUUAUACACAGAAAAACCCUCUGCCCUGUUAGCAUUCACAAUCACAGGGGCGAAAAAUAGAUUUUAGUUCACUGAAGUAAAGACAACAAGGGGAAAGCUGUAAAAUGUAUUCCACUCAAACACUUUCUCCUGCAAGCAAGCUUAUUAAAAGCCUCUCAAAUCAAACUGAAGGAGACGGCGAAGGGCAGGGGGGCGACAGAAUAUAUUUACCCCAAAUUCCCAGCAUUCCUUGAGGCAGACAGCAAACGCAGGACUUGCGCUGAGCACACAGGGCAUGAAUAGUCUCAGCCAGAUUCAGGCUAAACUCAGGAAAACUCACUCGCAAAACUCACAGCCACGCAUGAAGAAAAAAAAUUCAAGGGACCCAUGUCCCUUUAAUGCAUGCAACCGCUGUCGCCACGUCGUGACAGACAGUGGCAUGUGCACACAGGUGACCCCUGUCCUCCUCUGAUCUGCUCUUCAGCUGCCCUUUUUAGGCCACCUUCACCUGUCCUGUCAAUACAUCCGCCACAUGUGUUUGAGCGACCCACUGAGGGGACAGAGAGUCUCACCCGGGAGCUGUACCCUGACCCCAACCCUAAUUCCUCCCGCAGACAGGGGCGACCCUUUUCCGCACAAUUACUUGCCAUGAAAGC